This 1924-nucleotide long non-coding RNA is filed under the name Junco hyemalis (dark-eyed junco). RNAcentral's name for it is "lncRNA (ENSJHYG00000002424.1)". Lineage: Eukaryota; Metazoa; Chordata; Aves; Passeriformes; Passerellidae. The record is from RNAcentral.
ACAGGGGUCAAUGGGAGACAGGAUGGACACAAGGACAUGGAAGAUAGAGGGGGACACAUGGGGACAUGGGAUAGACACAGAGGACAUGGCAGGACACAAGGGACAUGGGGAACACAGCGGGACAAGGGAGGACUGGGAGGACACGUGGAGACACAGGGGACAUUGGUGGACACAGGGGGGUGACACAGGGGUACUGAGUGUCCCCCGUGUCCCCAGCGAGGAGGAGCUGACGCUGACCCGGGAAAAUUCCAUCCGGAGGCUCCACUCCAGCCACAGCAGCGACCCCCGGGCACAGCUGGAGGAGACGCUGCAGCUGCGCACGGAGAGUCGCCAGGGCAGCCUGAGGGGGGACAGCCUGCGAGGGGACAGCCUGAGGGGGGACAGCUUGAGAGGGGACAGCCUGCGUGGCACCAGCAUCUGCUCUGCCAUGAGCGAGGAGCCCGAGGGCCGCAGUUACUCCACGCUCUCCACGGUGCGGGAGAUCGAGACGCAGACCGACGUCCCCGUGGUUGUCCCCGCUGUCCCCGCGGUGCCACCAGCGCCCGGCGGGAAGGAGCCCAAGGAGGAGGAGGAGGAGGGUGGGGGCGGCGGGGGGGACCCCAUCAAGGCGGCCAUGACGCACUUUGUGCAGGAGAACGGCAUGCUGCAGGCCAAGCCCAGCUCCAACGGCAUCUACAUCAACGGCCGCGGCCACCUGGUGUGAGCCGGGCCCCGGGGGGACACCUGGGGACACCUGGGGACACCUGGGGACAGCCAGCCCCCCUCGCACCCGCCCGGCUCUAUCCCCACUGCUCCGGUCCCCGGGUGUCACCUCCCCGCUGGUGUGGGGUCAAGGAUGGACUUCAGUCCCCUGGUGUCACCUCCCUGAUGCUGUGGGGCUGGGGACAAGGACAAUGUCCCAGGACUGUGUCACCUCCCUGCUGGUGUGGGGUCAAGGAUGGACUCUGGUCCCCAAGUGUCACCUCCCUGCUGGUGUGGGGACAAGGACAGUGCCCCAGGACUGGCUGUGGUCCUCAGGUGUCACCUCCCUGCUGGUGUGGGGUCAAGGAUGGACUCUGGUCCCCAAGUGUCACCUCCCUGCUGGCACAUGGAGUUGGGGACACCACCAAGCCCCAGGAGAUUCUUCGGUCCCCAAGUGUCACCUUGCUGCUGGCACAGGCUUGGGGACACCACCAAGGAGCUCAAGGACGUUCUCCAGUCCCCAAGUGCCACCUUCCUGCUUCAGAGAUGGACUCUGGUCCCCAAGUGCCACCUCCCUGCCGUCACAGGCUUGGGGACAAGCCCCAGGACAAGCUCCUUGUCCCCAGGUGUCCCCUCCCUGCUGGUGUGGGGUCAAGGAUGGACUCUGGUCCCCAAGUGCCACCUCCCUGCCAUCACAGGGAGGACAGGAUUGGGGACAAGCUCCUGUCCCCAGGUGCCACCUCUCUGCUGUCACAGCCUUGGGGACACCACCAAGUCCAGGACAAGCUCCUGUCCCCAGGUGCCACCAACCAGGGCCUGGGGACACUUGUGGUGACACUGGGGACCCCCAGGACCCUCCAAACUCCCCAGGACCAGGAGCCCCCUUGUCCCCCCCAACCUGGGUGGCACUGGGGACAGCCAUGUCCCCUCUCCCAUGGGUUGGUGGCACUGGGGACAGCCGUGUCCCCUUUCCCAUGGGUUGGUGGCACUUGGGGACAGCCGUGUCCCCUCCCCCCCGGGUGGGGGAGGGGCUGUACAGCCGUGUAUAGACCCUGUAAAUAAAGGACCCGCGGGACUGGGACCGGUGUGACACCUUGGGGACAAUGGGGACACGGGAGGGACACCAAGUCACGCGAGUGACAGGGGUAAUGUGGGUGACAUGGGGGUGACACUGUGACACGAGGGUGACACGGGGAUGGCAUGGGUGACAUGGUGACAUGGGGGUGACACUGAGACAUGGGUG